This 1524-nucleotide ribosomal RNA is filed under the name metagenome. Its description in RNAcentral is "bacterial SSU rRNA". It matches the Rfam family "Bacterial small subunit ribosomal RNA". The record is from RNAcentral.
AGAGUUUGAUCCUGGCUCAGAACGAACGCUGGCGGCAUGGCUAAGACAUGCAAGUCGUCUAACCACUUAUGCUAGCAUCAGUGGUUAGUGGCGGACGGGAGAGUAAUGCAUAGGUAACGCACCUCGGACUCCGGGAUAACAGCGGGAGCAAUCCCUUUGCGAAAGUGCUGCUAAUACCGGAUGAGAUCGUAGAGUCGCCUGGCUUAGCGAUCAAAGGUGGGGACCUUCGGGCCUGCCGGUCCGGGAUCGGCCUAUGUCCUAUCAGCUUGUUGGUGAGGUAACGGCUCACCAAGGCGUCGACGGGUAGCGGGCGUGAGAGCGUGACCCGCCUCAUCGGGACUGAGACACUGCCCGGACACCUACGGGUGGCUGCAGUAACGAAUAUUGGGCAAUGGGCGAAAGCCUGACCCAGCAAUGCCGCGUGCAGGAGGAAGCCCCUCGGGGUGUAAACUGCUGUCAGGGUCCAACAAGCAAAGCCGGUCAAUAGCCGGUCGCGUUGAGUAGACCCAAAGGAAGCCUCGGCUAACUCUGUGCCAGCAGCCUCGGUAAGACAGAGGAGGCAAGCGUUGUUCGGAUUCAUUGGGCUUAAAGAGCGCGUAGGCGCUCGGUAAGCGUCCUGUGAAAUCCCACGGCUCAACCGUGGAAUUGCAGGGCGAACUGCUGGGCUUGAGGUUGGUAGAGGUGCCUGGAACUCUAGGUGGAGCGGUGAAAUGCGUAGAUAUCUAGAGGAACGCCAGAUGCGAAAGCGGGGCACUGGGCCAAUUCUGACGCUGAGGCGCGAAAGCGUGGGGAGCAAACAGGAUUAGAUACCCUGGUAGUCCACGCUGUAAACGAUGCACACUAGAUCUGGGAGGCUCUGACGUCGCCCGGGUCCAAGCGAAAGCGUUAAGUGUGCCGCCUGGGGACUACGGCCGCAAGGCUAAAACUCAAAGGAAUUGACGGGGGCUCACACAAGCGGUGGAGCAUGUGGCUUAAUUCGAAACAACGCGAAGAACCUUACCCAGGUUUGACAUGCUUGGAUGCUAUCCGGGGAUAACCCGGUGCGCUGCCCUUCGGGGUGAAACUUGCACAGGUGUUGCAUGGCUGUCGUCAGCUCGUGCUGUGAAGUGUCGGGUUAAGUCCCUUAACGAGCGAAACCCCUAUCGUUAGUUGCCAGCGAGUCAUGUCGGGGACUCUAACGAGACUGCCGGCGUUAAGCCGGAGGAAGGUGGGGACGACGUCAAGUCAUCAUGGCCUUUAUGCCUGGGGAUGCACACGUGCUACAAUGGCGCGUACAGAGCGACGCAAUGCCGCGAGGCGGAGCAAAUCGCAAAAAACGCGCCCCAGUUCGGAUUGGAGUCUGUAAUUCGACUCCAUGAAGUUGGAAUCGCUAGUAAUCGCGUAUCAGCUACGACGCGGUGAAUGUGUUCCUGAGCCUUGUGCACACCGCCCGUCAAGUCAUGGAAGCUGGUAGCACCCGAAGUCCGUUUAGCCAACUGGUAACAGAGGCGGCGGCCGACGGUGAGACUGGUAACUGGGACUAAG